GGAUGUGAGGGCGAUCUGGCUGUGACAUCUGUCACUCCAUUGAUCACCAGGAUUGAUUCACUGAUCUGGCUGGCUAGGCAGGUGUCCCCUUCCUCUUUCACUGCUCCACAUGCGUCCCUCCCUAAGCUACGCAUUCAUACAGGCGGUCAUGGGAAUACGGUUGCUGCCCUCCCCUGCUAGAACCUCCAAACAAGCUCAGGGUCCACCUGUAGGAGAAUGUAGGGUAGUCAGGCUUCCGAGACUGCAGACACAUGAAAGUGAGGUGCUGCACGUGGCAGUUCGCCAUUCUUU
RNAcentral lists this small nuclear RNA (291 nucleotides) under Melopsittacus undulatus (budgerigar). RNAcentral describes it as "7SK RNA". It matches the Rfam family "7SK RNA". Rfam says of the family: 7SK was discovered as an abundant small nuclear RNA in the mid-70s but a possible function has only recently been suggested. Two independent studies have found that 7SK RNA binds the CDK9/cyclin T complex (known as elongation factor P-TEFb). The record is from Rfam by way of RNAcentral. Lineage: Eukaryota; Metazoa; Chordata; Aves; Psittaciformes; Psittaculidae.